GGCUAGAUAGUUUAAGUUAAAACAUUGAACUGUUAAUUCAAAAUUGUAGUAAAUUGCUUUAGCUU
This 65-nucleotide transfer RNA is filed under the name Mytilus edulis (blue mussel). Its description in RNAcentral is "tRNA-Asn". It matches the Rfam family "tRNA". From Rfam's summary of the family: Transfer RNA (tRNA) molecules are approximately 80 nucleotides in length. Their secondary structure includes four short double-helical elements and three loops (D, anti-codon, and T loops). Further hydrogen bonds mediate the characteristic L-shaped molecular structure. tRNAs have two regions of fundamental functional importance: the anti-codon, which is responsible for specific mRNA codon recognition, and the 3' end, to which the tRNAs corresponding amino acid is attached (by aminoacyl-tRNA synthetases). tRNAs cope with the degeneracy of the genetic code in two manners: having more than one tRNA (with a specific anti-codon) for a particular amino acid; and 'wobble' base-pairing, i.e. permitting non-standard base-pairing at the 3rd anti-codon position. Lineage: Eukaryota; Metazoa; Mollusca; Bivalvia; Mytilida; Mytilidae. The record is from RNAcentral.